This 431-nucleotide ribosomal RNA is filed under the name uncultured bacterium. RNAcentral describes it as "partial 16S ribosomal RNA". It matches the Rfam family "Bacterial small subunit ribosomal RNA", at positions 338 to 795 of the family's 1533-position model. The record is from RNAcentral.
CCUACGGGAGGCAGCAGUCGAGAAUCAUUCGCAAUGGGCGCAAGCCUGACGGUGCGACGCCGCGUGGAGGAAGAAGGCCCUCGGGUCGUAAACUCCUGUCAAGAGAGAGUGAGUAUCUCUAGAGGAAGGGGCGGCUAACUCCGUGCCAGCAGCCGCGGUAAUACGGAGGCCCCAAGCGUUGUUCGGAUUUAUUGGGCGUAAAGGGUGCGUAGGCGGCGUGGUAAGUCUGGUGUGAAAGGCGUGGGCUCAACCCGCGGACUGCAUUGGAUACUGCCAUGCUAGAGGACUGGAGAGGAGAAUGGAAUUCACGGUGGAGCAGUGAAAUGCGUAGAUAUCGUGAGGAAGGCCAGUGGCGAAGGCGAUUCUCUGGACAGACUGACGCUGAGGCACGAAGGCUGGGGGAGCGAACAGGAUUAGAUACCCUUGUAGUC